GGGCCCGUGGCCUAGCCAGGAUCAAAGGCACCGAGCCAGAAAAGCCGGAGAUCCCGGGUUCAAAUCCCGGCGGGCCCGCCA
This 81-nucleotide transfer RNA is filed under the name Candidatus Bathyarchaeota archaeon. RNAcentral describes it as "tRNA-Phe". It matches the Rfam family "tRNA". From Rfam's summary of the family: Transfer RNA (tRNA) molecules are approximately 80 nucleotides in length. Their secondary structure includes four short double-helical elements and three loops (D, anti-codon, and T loops). Further hydrogen bonds mediate the characteristic L-shaped molecular structure. tRNAs have two regions of fundamental functional importance: the anti-codon, which is responsible for specific mRNA codon recognition, and the 3' end, to which the tRNAs corresponding amino acid is attached (by aminoacyl-tRNA synthetases). tRNAs cope with the degeneracy of the genetic code in two manners: having more than one tRNA (with a specific anti-codon) for a particular amino acid; and 'wobble' base-pairing, i.e. permitting non-standard base-pairing at the 3rd anti-codon position. The record is from RNAcentral. Lineage: Archaea; Thermoproteati; Candidatus Bathyarchaeota.